RNAcentral lists this unclassified non-coding RNA (683 nucleotides) under Hevea brasiliensis (rubber tree). The record is from RNAcentral. Lineage: Eukaryota; Viridiplantae; Streptophyta; Magnoliopsida; Malpighiales; Euphorbiaceae.
GGAAUAGAUCUGAGGGAAGAGAUCACAUACUUCCAGUUCAUCAUCCUUGGUCUUUCAAGUCUGUCCGCAAGUUUAUGAAGAAAGCUAUUUGGUUGCUCCCUGAUAUGGACUCAACAGGGAACUGGUACAAGCCUGGACAAGUUUAUCUCGAGAAAGACCUGAUACUUCCUUAUGUUGCCAAUCUCGAUCUAUGUGAUGCUAAAUGUUUGUCUUCAUCAAGGAGAACUACGCUGCUAUUUUUCCGGGGAAGACUUAAAAGAAAUGCUGGUGGUAAGAUACGUGCCAAACUUGUGGAAGAGCUCCGUGGUGCAGAUGGAGUAUCCAUUGAGGAAGGGACUGCUGGAGAAGGAGGAAAAGAAGCAGCACAGGUUGGCAUGCGCAAGAGUAUAUUUUGCCUAAAUCCAGCUGGUGACACCCCAUCGUCAGCCAGAUUGUUUGAUGCAAUUGUCAGUGGCUGCAUUCCUAUCAUAGUCAGCGACGAACUAGAGCUUCCUUUCGAGGGGAUUCUUGAUUAUCGGAAGAUUGCUCUGUUUGUCUCUUCUAGUGAUGCUUUGCAACCAGGGUGGCUUUUGUCAUUUCUAAAAAGUGUUAGUGGGGCUCAAAUUAAAGAGAUGCAAGCGAAUUUAGCUAAGUAUGCUAGGCAUUUUCUUUAUUCUCAUCCAGCUCAGCCGCUAGGUCCUGAA